This 1383-nucleotide ribosomal RNA is filed under the name Triticum aestivum (bread wheat). Its description in RNAcentral is "partial small subunit ribosomal RNA". Lineage: Eukaryota; Viridiplantae; Streptophyta; Magnoliopsida; Poales; Poaceae. The record is from RNAcentral.
AUGGCGCGGUCGUCGUCUCCUCUCGUCAACAAGGCUUCGCCCACCGAGCAGCCCCGCCUGCUCUGCACUCGCCGUUCUUCAAAGCGUGUCACCGCUUUGAGCCCGGAGGCGCUCCUUGAUGCCACCCUUGCCGGCGUCGAGCAGCAGGAUGACGCCGGUGUCAUCGCUGCCGCCACGGCUCUGAAGCGAGAUGCUACUCUCUCAGAUGAGACCCUGGCGGUUCACGCUGGGGAGAAGAUGGGGAAGAACGGAGCCAUGGACACAGACUCGAUCGCGACACCUAUUGUGAGCGGCACGACACACUGGUUCAAGAGCUCGGGCGACCUCGUCGCAUUCAAGGAAGGCCGGCGCCACAGCUUCGAGUACGGCCGCUACGGCAACCCCACUGUGAAGGUCCUAGAGGACAAGAUCAGUGCCCUGGAGAGGGCCGAGGGGACGCUUGUCACGUCCUCAGGCAUGAACGCCAUCGUCGCCACACUGCUCGCGCUCGUACCGCCCGGCGCCGGCCACGUGGUGACCACGACCGAGUGCUACAGCGAGGCACGCGCCUUCAUCCGCGACAAGCUCUCUAAGAUGGGCAUCAAGGUGACAUUCGUCGAGCUGAACGACAUGGAGACACUCAAGGCCGUUCUUGACCAGGGCGACGUGACACUCUUCUAUACCGACUGUCCGACGAACCCCCAUCUCAAGUGCAUCGACAUUAAGCUCGUCGCCGAUCUGUGCCACCGGAGAGGGGCUCUGGUGUGCAUUGACAGCACACUCGCCUCGCCCAUCAACCAGAAGCCACUCACCCUCGGGGCUGACAUCGUCGUGCACUCCGCCACAAAGUACAUCGCAGGACAUCAUGACGUCAUCGCAGGAUGCAUCAGUGGCUCUGAGGCGCUCAUCUCCAGAAUACGCGCGUGGCAUCACGACCUUGGCGGCGCCAUUAGUCCGGACGCAGCCUACAUGAUCAUACGCGGCCUUAAGACGAUGGCACUACGCGUGGAGACACAAAACCAAACUUCAUUGCGCAUGGCGCGCCUGCUCGAGAACCAUCCCAAGAUCGAGCGAGUGUACUACCCUGGUCUCCUAAGCAGCCCGUGGCACGACAUUGCCAAGAGCCAGAUGACUGGUUUUGGAGGAGUCAUCAGCUUCGAGGUAGCCUCAGACCUGCAUGGUGUCAUGAGGUUCGUCGACGCCCUCGAGAUACCCUUCAUCGCGACGUCCCUCGGCGGGUGCGAAAGCCUCGUGCAGCAGCCGGCAGUCAUGUCCUUCUGGGGUCAGAGUGACGAGGAAAAGGCGAAGAAUGGGAUCAAGGACAACUUGGUGCGGUUCAGCUUCGGGAUUGAGAAGUUUGAGGAUCUUAGGGAUGACAUUAUCCAAGCCCUGGAGAAGAUUUAG